RNAcentral lists this unclassified non-coding RNA (365 nucleotides) under uncultured fungus. Its description in RNAcentral is "partial contains small subunit ribosomal RNA, internal transcribed spacer 1, and 5.8S ribosomal RNA". The stretch from base 1 to 73 matches the Rfam family "Eukaryotic small subunit ribosomal RNA", at positions 1759 to 1831 of the family's 1831-position model. Lineage: Eukaryota; Fungi. The record is from RNAcentral.
GCAAACUUGGUCAUUUAGAGGAAGUAAAAGUCGUAACAAGGUUUCCGUAGGUGAACCUGCGGAAGGAUCAUCACUGAUUCAGGGGUCCGCGCGUUUCCCUACGCCCGUGCGCGUGCGUAGCGCGAGCGCCACCCCAAACCAAUCUCGUGUGCACCGUUUCACUGGUCAGAGAAUGACAUGUGGCCGUGUGCGUGUUGGUGGGGGGGGAUCAUCACAUCCAUCACCCACCGACCGCAUGCACCCUGUCGUUCUAAAUUUGCGCAAUCUCUUGAUUAAACUUGUUUCCAACAUGUUUUACCUAAAAUAUAACAUACACAACUUUUAACAAUGGAUCUCUUGGCUCUCGCAUCGAUGAAGAACGCAGC